AUGACCAACAACCUGUGGAUCACUAAUAUUGAUGGCACCAAUCGUCUGUCCCUCGUGCAUAUCGAGCAGUUUGCUGACCUCUGGGAUAAAUUAUCAACGGUGGCCCUUGAGGAAGAUGUGGAAGACUCCAUUAUUUGAAAGUUCACUAAGGAUGGGAUUUAUUCUGCUUCAUCGGCAUACAAGGCACAAUUUGAAGGUCUCAUAUCCUCUGAUCUUGUCAAGUCUGUGUGGAGGGCCUGGGCUCCCAGGUGCAAAUUCUUUGCUUGACUCGUUCUUCAAAAUAGAAUAUGGACAUCAGACCGCUUGAUCCGUCGUGGCUGGCCCAACCGCGGCUUGUGUCCCCUUUGUAAGCAAGCACAUGAGUCCGCUGCUCACCUACUCUUCCAGUGCCGCUUCACAUCGCGCAUUUGGAACGACAUUCUUACAUGGCUUGGAAUGCACCACAUCUCUACUACUACAUGGACGGUGAGCGCUUCGGUCAAAGAAUAGUGGGACAACAACCUUCAGAUUUGUCUCGGCUCUCCCAAAGCCUUGGCCUCAUUGAUGAUGCUCAUCUCUUGGGAGGUUUGGUCUGAGAGAAAUGCUAGAGUCUUUCGCAAUGUGGCGGUUCCAUCGGUGGUCAUCAUCAACAAGAUCAAGCAUGAGGAGUCGCUUUGGGCUUUGGCGGGUGCCAAGCACUUGAGUAUUGUAAUGCCGCGAGAGUAA
RNAcentral lists this ribosomal RNA (705 nucleotides) under Triticum aestivum (bread wheat). RNAcentral describes it as "partial small subunit ribosomal RNA". The record is from RNAcentral. Lineage: Eukaryota; Viridiplantae; Streptophyta; Magnoliopsida; Poales; Poaceae.